UUCCCCAUGGAAUGCUCAGGUCCGCCGCAUCUCCUGGGUCCCGUGGGGCGGUCGGCCGGCAUCUGGUCUCAAGCGGUUUCCUCGUACCGUGAUCGGAUCGCCGGCCGGCCACUUU
This 115-nucleotide small RNA is filed under the name Aureimonas sp. Leaf324. RNAcentral's name for it is "EcpR1". It matches the Rfam family "EcpR1". From Rfam's summary of the family: Perviously named SmelC291, SmrC10, or Sra33. The record is from Rfam by way of RNAcentral. Lineage: Bacteria; Pseudomonadati; Pseudomonadota; Alphaproteobacteria; Hyphomicrobiales; Aurantimonadaceae.